UACGUAGUUGGCAAGCGUUGUCCGGAAUUAUUGGGCGUAAAGCGCGGGUAGGCGGAUUAGUAAGUCAGAGGUGAAAUCCCAGGGCUCAACCCUGGAACUGCCUUUGAUACUGCUAGUCUUGAGUUCGAGAGAGGUGAGUGGAAUUCCGAGUGUAGAGGUGAAAUUCGUAGAUAUUCGGAGGAACACCAGUGGCGAAGGCGGCUCACUGGCUCGAUACUGACGCUGAGGUGCGAAAGUGUGGGGAUCAAACAGG
RNAcentral lists this unclassified non-coding RNA (253 nucleotides) under uncultured Rhodobacterales bacterium. RNAcentral describes it as "contains 16S-23S intergenic spacer region". It matches the Rfam family "Bacterial small subunit ribosomal RNA", at positions 524 to 776 of the family's 1533-position model. Lineage: Bacteria; Pseudomonadati; Pseudomonadota; Alphaproteobacteria; Rhodobacterales. The record is from RNAcentral.